This 499-nucleotide ribosomal RNA is filed under the name uncultured bacterium. RNAcentral describes it as "bacterial SSU rRNA". It matches the Rfam family "Bacterial small subunit ribosomal RNA", at positions 24 to 518 of the family's 1533-position model. The record is from RNAcentral.
UCAGGAUGAACGCUAGCGACAGGCCUAACACAUGCAAGUCAGGGGCAGCACAAGGAGCAAUCUGAGGUGGCGACCGGCGCACGGGUGAGUAACACGUAUGCAACCUGCCUGUAAGCGGGGAAUAACCCGUUGAAAGACGGACUAAUACCGCAUAAUACUAAAUUACUGCAUGGUAAUUUAUUUAAACAUUUAUGGCUUACAGAUGGGCAUGCGCAUGAUUAGCUAGUUGGAGAGGUAACGGCUCCCCAAGGCAACGAUCAUUAGGGGUUCUGAGAGGAAGGUCCCCCACACUGGUACUGAGACACGGACCAGACUCCUACGGGAGGCAGCAGUGAGGAAUAUUGGUCAAUGGACGAGAGUCUGAACCAGCCAAGUCGCGUGCAGGAAGAAAAUGUCCUAUGGAUUGUAAACUGCUUUUGCAGGGGAAUAAAGUGAGCCACGUGUGGUUUUUGUAUGUACUCUGCGAAUAAGGAUCGGCUAACUCCGUGCCAGCAGCCGC